GAUUUCAAGGGCCGACAGGAAGCCUCGAUCGGGGAACUCUGACCUUGCGGAGGAAACUUGUUUCCCUUUUUUUCUUCCCGCCGACUUUCACUCGAUAAAACCCUGCUUUAUUCACCCUUUAAACCUUCUCCAAACCUAAAUUUUCCUGGCCUUGGGACGGACAAGAACCCAGUCUUCAGAUGAAGGAAGGAAAAGUCCUGCAACAUUCUUGGCGUGCAACGUUGGGGCUCUUGAAGAGGUGUACUCUAACUUUCUCCACCCUUUGAGGCUGUCCUGCAUGGACAGCAUCAGUGCACUCUUUUGCACUCUUCUGCUGGCUUUGGUCAUUGGGAGCCAAUAAACAAUCUGAAGGCAGAAUGAGUAUAAGUUGGGAG
This 374-nucleotide long non-coding RNA is filed under the name Homo sapiens (human). RNAcentral describes it as "HSALNT0310721". The record is from RNAcentral. Lineage: Eukaryota; Metazoa; Chordata; Mammalia; Primates; Hominidae.